RNAcentral lists this small RNA (582 nucleotides) under Pan troglodytes (chimpanzee). Its description in RNAcentral is "processed transcript". Lineage: Eukaryota; Metazoa; Chordata; Mammalia; Primates; Hominidae. The record is from RNAcentral.
GUGCGUGUGUGCAAGGUGUGGUUGCACGGAUGCUCGUUGCUUCUGCGUAUCUGCGGCAGCCUAGGGCCCAGGCCCGGGCCACCAUGGCGCUGCCUCCGGGCCCAGCCGCCCUCCGGCACACACUGCUGCUCCUGCCAGCCCUUCUGAGCUCAGGUUGGGGGGAGUUGGAGCCACAAAUAGAUGGUCAGACCUGGGCUGAGCGGGCACUUCGGGAGAAUGAACGCCACGCCUUCACCUGCCGGGUGGCAGGGGGGCCUGGCACCCCCAGAUUGGCCUGGUAUCUGGAUGGACAGCUGCAGGAGGCCAGCACCUCAAGACUGCUGAGCGUGGGAGGGGAGGCCUUCUCUGGAGGCACCAGCACCUUCACUGUCACUGCCCAUCGGGCCCAGCAUGAGCUCAACUGCUCCCUGCAGGACCCCAGCAGUGGCCGAUCAGCCAACGCCUCUGUCAUCCUUAAUGUGCAAUUCAAGCCAGAGAUUGCCCAAGUCGGCGCCAAGUACCAGGAAGCUCAGGGCCCAGGCCUCCUGGUUGUCCUGUUUGCCCUGGUGCGUGCCAACCCGCCUGCCAAUGUCACCUGGAUCG